RNAcentral lists this transfer RNA (77 nucleotides) under Labilithrix sp. Its description in RNAcentral is "tRNA-Arg". It matches the Rfam family "tRNA". From Rfam's summary of the family: Transfer RNA (tRNA) molecules are approximately 80 nucleotides in length. Their secondary structure includes four short double-helical elements and three loops (D, anti-codon, and T loops). Lineage: Bacteria; Pseudomonadati; Myxococcota; Polyangiales; Labilitrichaceae. The record is from RNAcentral.
GUCCGCGUAGCUCAGCUGGAUAGAGCAUCGCUUUCCUAAAGCGGUGGUCGCAGGUUCGAAUCCUGCCGCGGACGCCA